UGUCUUUCUUUUAAGGACAGGGACAAGC
This 28-nucleotide non-coding RNA is filed under the name Rattus norvegicus (Norway rat). Lineage: Eukaryota; Metazoa; Chordata; Mammalia; Rodentia; Muridae. The record is from RNAcentral.